RNAcentral lists this transfer RNA (84 nucleotides) under Candidatus Auribacterota bacterium. RNAcentral describes it as "tRNA-Leu". It matches the Rfam family "tRNA". Rfam says of the family: Transfer RNA (tRNA) molecules are approximately 80 nucleotides in length. Their secondary structure includes four short double-helical elements and three loops (D, anti-codon, and T loops). Further hydrogen bonds mediate the characteristic L-shaped molecular structure. tRNAs have two regions of fundamental functional importance: the anti-codon, which is responsible for specific mRNA codon recognition, and the 3' end, to which the tRNAs corresponding amino acid is attached (by aminoacyl-tRNA synthetases). tRNAs cope with the degeneracy of the genetic code in two manners: having more than one tRNA (with a specific anti-codon) for a particular amino acid; and 'wobble' base-pairing, i.e. permitting non-standard base-pairing at the 3rd anti-codon position. Lineage: Bacteria; Pseudomonadati; Candidatus Auribacterota. The record is from RNAcentral.
GCCGAAGUGGCGGAACUGGCAGACGCGUUAGUUUCAGGUACUAAUGGGAGUAAUCUCGUGGGGGUUCAAGUCCCUUCUUCGGCA